Long non-coding RNA from Salvia splendens (bonfire salvia), 326 nucleotides. RefSeq lists it as uncharacterized. NCBI's taxonomy places the organism in Eukaryota, Viridiplantae, Streptophyta, Magnoliopsida, Lamiales, Lamiaceae. The record is from RefSeq and is a predicted model, not a curated record. The transcript has 3 exons.
ACAUAUUCUGUUAAUUUGACUGGGAACAUGUCAGGGUCUAAAGUGAAAGUGGGUGAGGAAGAUUGCAUUGAAAACCGAAUGGACUUGGUGUUACUUUUAUAUCCUCAAUUUGCUUCUCUCUUGGAAUAGAGAGACUCUGCCAGUGUUGUGCUACAUGGUUGCUCAUUGAGCAGUUCCUUUUACGACAUCAUAAUUGGAGGUGGGAAUGUGCAGGGGAUUCCUAUCGAAGUGUUCCAGAUAUCCCAAGUGGUAGAAGACUCUCUUAGAAGGGCUCAGCAUCUGAAAAUACAUCUGCUAAACUCUUACUCAAUGGGGUUGGAUGGUCA